GAUGAACGCUGGCGGCGUGCCUAAUACAUGCAAGUCGAGCGAACGGACGAGAAGCUUGCUUCUCUGAUGUUAGCGGCGGACGGGUGAGCAACACGUGGAUAACCUACCUAUAAGACUGGGAUAACUUCGGGAAACCGGAGCUAAUACCGGAUAAUAUUUUGAACCGCAUGGUUCAAAAGUGAAAGACGGUCUUGCUGUCACUUAUAGAUGGAUCCGCGCUGCAUUAGCUAGUUGGUAAGGUAACGGCUUACCAAGGCAACGAUGCAUAGCCGACCUGAGAGGGUGAUCGGCCACACUGGAACUGAGACGCGGUCCAGACUCCUACGGGAGGCAGCAGUAGGGAAUCUUCCGCAAUGGGCGAAAGCCUGACGGAGCAACGCCGCGUGAGUGAUGAAGGUCUUCGGAUCGUAAAACUCUGUUAUUAGGGAAGAACAUAUGUGUAAGUAACUGUGCACAUCUUGACGGUACCUAAUCAGAAAGCCACGGCUAACUACGUG
This 497-nucleotide ribosomal RNA is filed under the name uncultured bacterium. RNAcentral's name for it is "partial 16S ribosomal RNA". It matches the Rfam family "Bacterial small subunit ribosomal RNA", at positions 28 to 507 of the family's 1533-position model. The record is from RNAcentral.